GGAGUCAGGAUUAGAACCCAGGUCCUUCUGGCUCUCAGGCCUGUGCUCUCUCCAUUAGGCCACGCUGCUUCUUUUGACCCUGGGCUUCCUGACUCCAAGGCCUAUGCUCUGUCCACUGAGCCACAUUUCCUACUCCAAGAUGGGAGUCAGCAGCUCUUUGGACAGCUGCUCCCAGAACUUUAUCUCUGAAUUUCCC
RNAcentral lists this long non-coding RNA (196 nucleotides) under Ornithorhynchus anatinus (platypus). RNAcentral describes it as "lncRNA (ENSOANG00000046892.1)". The record is from RNAcentral. Lineage: Eukaryota; Metazoa; Chordata; Mammalia; Monotremata; Ornithorhynchidae.